UUUUAGCUCUCGCUAUUAGAUGAGCCUAAGUCGGAUUAGCUGGUUGGUGGGGUAAAGGCCUACCAAGGCGACGAUCUGUAGCUGGUCUGAGAGGAUGAUCAGCCACACUGGGACUGAGACACGGCCCAGACUCCUACGGGAGGCAGCAGUGGGGAAUAUUGGACAAUGGGCGAAAGCCUGAUCCAGCCAUGCCGCGUGUGUGAAGAAGGCCUUUUGGUUGUAAAGCACUUUAAGUGGGGAGGAAAAGCUUAUGGUUAAUACCCAUAAGCCCUGACGUUACCCACAGAAUAAGCACCGGCUAACUCUGUGCCAGCAGCCGCGGUAAUACAGAGGGUGCAAGCGUUAAUCGGAAUUACUGGGCGUAAAGCGCGCGUAGGUGGUUAUUUAAGUCAGAUGUGAAAGCCCCGGGCUUAACCUGGGAACUGCAUCUGAUACUGGAUAACUAGAGUAGGUGAGAGGGGAGUAGAAUUCCAGGUGUAGCGGUGAAAUGCGUAGAGAUCUGGAGGAAUACCGAUGGCGAAGGCAGCUCCCUGGCAUCAUACUGACACUGAGGUGCGAAAGCGUGGGUAGCAAACAGGAUUAGAUACCCUGGUAGUCC
Molecule: ribosomal RNA, 598 nt
Filed under: uncultured Moraxella sp.
Lineage: Bacteria; Pseudomonadati; Pseudomonadota; Gammaproteobacteria; Moraxellales; Moraxellaceae
Description: bacterial SSU rRNA
Rfam family: Bacterial small subunit ribosomal RNA
Source: RNAcentral